AGUGAACGCUGGCGGCAGGCCUAACACAUGCAAGUCGAGCGGCAGCGCGGGGGCAACCCUGGCGGCGAGCGGCGGACGGGUGAGGAAUUCGUCGGAAUCUGCCUUUUUGUGGGGGAUAACGUAGGGAAACUUACGCUAAUACCGCAUACGUCCUACGGGAGAAAGUGGGGGACCGCAAGGCCUCACGCAGAAAGAUGAGCCGACGACCGAUUAGCUAGUUGGUGGGGUAAAGGCCCACCAAGGCGACGAUCGGUAGCUGGUCUGAGAGGAUGAUCCGCCACACUGGGACUGAGACACGGCCCAGACUCCUACGGGAGGCCGCAGUGGGGAAUCUUGGACAAUGGGCGCAAGCCUGAUCCAGCCAUGCCGCGUGUGUGCAGAAGGCCUUCGGGUUGUAAAGCACUUUUGUCCGGAAAGAAAUCCCUGGAGCUAAUACCUUCGGGGGAUGACGGUACCGGAAGAAUAAGCACCGGCUAACUUCGUG
RNAcentral lists this ribosomal RNA (484 nucleotides) under uncultured bacterium. RNAcentral describes it as "partial 16S ribosomal RNA". It matches the Rfam family "Bacterial small subunit ribosomal RNA", at positions 29 to 507 of the family's 1533-position model. The record is from RNAcentral.